RNAcentral lists this ribosomal RNA (385 nucleotides) under Papilio aegeus keianus. RNAcentral describes it as "partial 16S ribosomal RNA". The record is from RNAcentral. Lineage: Eukaryota; Metazoa; Arthropoda; Insecta; Lepidoptera; Papilionidae.
GGGCUGCAGUAUUUUGACUGUACAAAGGUAGCAUAAUCAAUAGUCUCUUAAUUGGUGACUUGUAUGAAAGAUUGGAUGAGAUAUAAACUGUCUCUAAUUGAUUUAUAAAAAUUAAUUUUUUAGUAAAAAAGCUAAAAUAAUUUUAAAAGACGAGAAGACCCUAUAGAGUUUAAUAUUUUAUUUAGUAAUUAUUAAUAUAUAUAAUUUUAAAAAUUAAAAUUAAAUGAAAUAUUUUGUUGGGGUGAUAAAAAAAUUAAAUUAACUUUUUUUGAUUGUAAACAUUAAUUUAUGGUUAAAUGAUCCAUUUAUAGUGAUUAAAAGAAAAAAUUACCUUAGGGAUAACAGCGUAAUUUUUUUUUUUAGUUCAAAUAGGAAAAAAAGUUUG